RNAcentral lists this non-coding RNA (164 nucleotides) under uncultured Bariatricus sp. RNAcentral describes it as "Lysine riboswitch". It matches the Rfam family "Lysine riboswitch aptamer". Rfam says of the family: Riboswitches are metabolite binding domains within certain messenger RNAs that serve as precision sensors for their corresponding targets. Allosteric rearrangement of mRNA structure is mediated by ligand binding, and this results in modulation of gene expression. The record is from RNAcentral. Lineage: Bacteria; Bacillati; Bacillota; Clostridia; Lachnospirales; Lachnospiraceae.
GAUAGAGGCGCGGUACACAUGAGUAUCACUUAGCAAAGGCCAGGCAGCCGCUUGGUGAGAAAGGGAAGACCGCCGAAGUUGUAGAGGUGGCCUGCAUUUUUACAACUGGGUCGUCAGAGAAUAUCUGCCGGACUGUCACAGAGUAAUUUGUGAAGCGCUAUCGU